CCAACGGGAGCGGCAGUGGCAAUGGCAGGUAUCUAUCUAUCCACUAUCUCUGUCCUCCGCUGGUUUCGUUUAAACCUCCCUUAAACCCUCUAAAUCCCUUCUCUUCCACAAUCUUAUGUUAUUGCCUUCAAACCCAUUACAAUAUGCAAAUUUCUAUGGCCAUUUCGCCACUCACACCUCCUCAAUUGUUUCCAUUUCAUCAACCCAUUUUCCACACACCCAAACCUCAUGGAUUUGCUUUCCAAACCCAUGUCAAUCCUCUAAACUCCUUCACAGAUUCCGGUCUUUUAUCCACAAUCGGCGUCGAGGAAGAGUACCGGAGGGCGCGGUCACAGGUUAAUCGGAAGGGGGUGGACUUGGAAGGCUACUCAAUCGAGGGAAUUUCAGUUGGUGGCCAAGAAACUUGUGUUAUUGUUCCUGAAUUCAAGUGUGCAUUUGAUAUUGGGAGGUGCCCAUCUCGAGCCAUUCAGCAGAACUUUGUAUUUAUCACUCACGCCCACCUUGAUCACAUUGGUGGGCUACCAAUGUAUGUAGCUAGUCGUGGUUUGUAUAGUUUAAGUCCUCCUACAGUAUUUGUUCCUCCUUGUGUUAGAGAAGAUGUGGAGAAACUUCUUGAUAUUCACAGGACCAUGGGCCAGGUGGACUUGGACGUGGAUCUGGUUGCACUAGAUGUAGGAGAAACAUAUGAAAUGCGAAAUAAUCUCGUCUGCAGAGCAUUUAAAACUCACCAUGUGAUACCGAGCCAGGGUUAUGUCAUUUAUUCAGUUAGAAAAAAAUUGAAGAAGCAAUACAUACAUCUUAAGGGGAAACAGAUUGAGAAGCUAAAGAAAUCUGGUGUCGAGAUUACAGACACUAUAUUGUCCCCGGAGGUGGCCUUCACAGGAGAUACAACGACAGAUUUUAUGCUUGAUCCACGUAAUGCUGAUGCUUUGCGGGCAAAAGUUCUUAUAACUGAGGCAACUUUUCUGGAUGAAGGGGCCAGCAUAGAACAUGCACGGCAACAUGGUCAUACUCACUUAUUUGAGAUUAUUGAAAAUGCUCAGUGGAUUCGAAAUAAGGCGAUUCUGUUGACUCAUUUUUCAUCCCGAUACCAUUUAGAGGACAUCCGUAAAGCAGUAUCAAAGUUGCAGUCGAAGGUGACAGCAAAAGUGGUUCCUCUCACUGAAGGUUUCAAGUCAGUGUAUUAAUGUAGGCUAUGGAUCCAAGGUUACAAAGUGUAAUUAUUUAUCAUCAAAGCAGAGAAACUGGAGUGUAGGAGACACAGGGAAAUUCCCGGUUUCGGCCUCGGUAGUCUGAAGGUUUGGCUAGUUGAGUACAGUACCAAUACACUGCAUAUCAUGAAAGUGAUGGGAGACCCAAAAUGCAGUUCAACCACAGAAUAGAACCAAAGAGAGUGAGUAAUGUACUUUCCUGUUUUUAUGAGGUCGCGUCAUUUCUAUCAAAUUUUCGACUUGGAAUAUUACAGGUUUUGAGACUCAUUUAGGAUUGGAAAUCAAAUUUAUAAUGUUGUUGAACUUGAAUGAAGGCACAUGAAUAAUGAAUCUGGAUAUUUUGGUUUCA
Momordica charantia (bitter melon) is the source of this 1560-nucleotide RNA transcript. It is a transcript of the gene named Metallo-hydrolase/oxidoreductase superfamily protein, with no coding region annotated. Lineage: Eukaryota; Viridiplantae; Streptophyta; Magnoliopsida; Cucurbitales; Cucurbitaceae. The record is from RefSeq and is a predicted model, not a curated record.